AAAACGACUCUCGGCAACGGAUAUCUCGGCUCUCGCAUCGAUGAAGAACGUAGCGAAAUGCGAUACUUGGUGUGAAUUGCAGAAUCCCGUGAACCAUCGAGUCUUUGAACGCAGGUUGCGCCCCAAGCCUUCUGGCCGAGGGCACGUCUGCCUGGGUGUCACAA
RNAcentral lists this ribosomal RNA (164 nucleotides) under Cardamine schulzii. RNAcentral's name for it is "5.8S ribosomal RNA". It matches the Rfam family "5.8S ribosomal RNA". Rfam says of the family: 5.8S ribosomal RNA (5.8S rRNA) is a component of the large subunit of the eukaryotic ribosome. It is transcribed by RNA polymerase I as part of the 45S precursor that also contains 18S and 28S rRNA. Lineage: Eukaryota; Viridiplantae; Streptophyta; Magnoliopsida; Brassicales; Brassicaceae. The record is from RNAcentral.